This 551-nucleotide ribosomal RNA is filed under the name uncultured bacterium. RNAcentral's name for it is "bacterial SSU rRNA". It matches the Rfam family "Bacterial small subunit ribosomal RNA", at positions 353 to 896 of the family's 1533-position model. The record is from RNAcentral.
AGUGGGGAAUAUUGCACAAUGGAGGAAACUCUGAUGCAGCCAUGCCGCGUGUGUGAAGGAGGCUUUCGGGUUGUAAAGCACUUUCAGCGAGGAGGAAAGGGUGCAGGUUAAUACCCUGUAUCUGUGACGUUACUCGCAGAAGAAGCACCGGCUAACUCCGUGCCAGCAGCCGCGGUAAUACGGAGGGUGCGAGCGUUAAUCGGAAUUACUGGGCGUAAAGCGCGCGUAGGCGGUUAAUUAAGUCAGAUGUGAAAGCCCAGGGCUCAACCUUGGAACUGCAUUUGAAACUGGUUAACUAGAGUUUUGUAGAGGGUGGUAGAAUUUCAGGUGUAGCGGUGAAAUGCGUAGAGAUCUGAAGGAGUACCAGUGGCGAAGGCGGCCACCUGGACAAAGACUGACGCUGAGGCGCGAAGGCGUGGGGAGCGAACGGGAUUAGAUACCCCGGUAGUCCACGCAGUAAACGAUGUCUAUUAGAAGUUUGUGGCUAUAUGCCGUGGGUUUCAAAGCUAACGCAUUAAAUAGACCGCCUGGGGAGUACGGCCGCAGGGUUA